UUUUAAUAUGGGCCUCAUCGGAAACAUCGCAGUGGGUGUAGGUGGAGUUUGAUGGGCCUAGGGCUUGAGCCACCGCGUGGCCUAAUUCGUCUUGGAUGUCUGCAAUCACAACUUUGGCUCCGUGGUGGGCAAAGACUUUGGCGGUGCAUUCGCCAAUUCCACUUGCACCUCCUGUGACUAGGGCUACUUUUCCCUCUAGCCUUUUUGCAACUGCAGAGAUUAAUGAAGCCGCCAUAGAUAACUCUCUCUCUCU
Molecule: unclassified non-coding RNA, 253 nt
Filed under: Hevea brasiliensis (rubber tree)
Lineage: Eukaryota; Viridiplantae; Streptophyta; Magnoliopsida; Malpighiales; Euphorbiaceae
Source: RNAcentral